CCUACGGGUGGCAGCAGUGGGGAAUAUUGGGCAAUGGGCGCAAGCCUGACCCAGCAACGCCGCGUGAAGGAAGACGGCUUUCGGGUUGUAAACUCUUUUUAAGAGGGAAGAGCAGAAGACGGUACCUCUUGAAUAAGCCACGGCUAACUACGUGCCAGCAGCCGCGGUAAUACGUAGGUGGCAAGGGUUGUCCGGAUUUACUGGGGGUAAAGGGCGUGUAGCCGGGAUGACAAGUCAGAUGUGAAAUUCCGGGGCUCAACCCCGGACCUGCAUUUGAGACUGUUGGUCUUGAGUAUCGGAGAGGCAGGCGGAAUUCCUAGUGUAGCGGUGAAAUGCGUAGAUAUUAGGAGGAACACCAGUGGCGAAGGCGGCCUACUGGACGGCAACUGACGGUGAGGCGCGAAAGCGUGGGGAGCAAACAGGAUUAGAUACCCGGGUAGUC
RNAcentral lists this ribosomal RNA (442 nucleotides) under uncultured bacterium. RNAcentral describes it as "partial 16S ribosomal RNA". It matches the Rfam family "Bacterial small subunit ribosomal RNA", at positions 338 to 795 of the family's 1533-position model. The record is from RNAcentral.